GGUCCAGACUCCUACGGGAGGCAGCAGUGGGGGAUAUUGCACAAUGGGGGGAACCCUGAUGCAGCGACGCCGCGUGGGUGAAGGAGUAUUUCGGUAUGUAAAGCCCUAUCGGCAGGGAAGAAGGAGGACGGUACCUGACUAAGAAGCCCCGGCUAACUACGUACCAGCAGCCGCGGUAAUACGUAGGGGGCAAGCGUUAUCCGGAAUUACUGGGUGUAAAGGGAGCGCAGACGGCAGUGCAAGUCUGGAGUGAAAGCCCGUGGCUUAACUACGGGACUGCUCUGGAAACUGUGCAGCUAGAGUGCAGGAGAGGCAGGCGGAAUUCCUAGUGUAGCGGUGAAAUGCGUAGAUAUUAGGAGGAACACCGGUGGCGAAGGCGGCCUGCUGGACUGUAACUGACGUUGAGGCUCGAAAGCGUGGGGAGCAAACAGGAUUAGAUACCCCGGUACCU
RNAcentral lists this ribosomal RNA (451 nucleotides) under uncultured bacterium. Its description in RNAcentral is "partial 16S ribosomal RNA". It matches the Rfam family "Bacterial small subunit ribosomal RNA", at positions 328 to 795 of the family's 1533-position model. The record is from RNAcentral.